This 576-nucleotide ribosomal RNA is filed under the name uncultured bacterium. Its description in RNAcentral is "bacterial SSU rRNA". It matches the Rfam family "Bacterial small subunit ribosomal RNA", at positions 914 to 1504 of the family's 1533-position model. The record is from RNAcentral.
CGGGGCCCGCCCAAGCAGCGGAGCGUGUGGUUAAUUCGAUGAUACGCGAAGAACCUUACCUGGGUUGAAUUACGAGGUAGUAGAGAAGCGAAAGUGGAUCGACCCUUCGGGGAGCCUCGAUAGGUGCUGCAUGGCUGUCGUCAGCUNCGUGUCGUGAGAUGUUGGGUUAAGUCCCGCAACGAGCGCAACCCUCGUUACUAGUUAUACGUGUCUAGUGAGACUGCCGGUAUCAAACCGGAGGAAGGUGGGGAUGACGUCAAGUCAGCAUGGUCUUUAUGUCCAGGGCUACACACACGCUACCAAUGGCCGGUACAAUAGGUUGCUACACCGCGAGGUGAUGCUAAUCCGAAAAGCCGGUCUCAGUUCGGAUAGCAGUCUGCAACUCGACUGCUUGAAGGUGGAGUUGCUAGUAACCGCGCGUCAGCAUAGUGCGGUGAAUGCGUUCCCGGGCCUUGUACACACCGCCCGUCACAUCAUGGAAGUCGGUAACACCUGAAGUUGGUGACCUAACCGCAAGGGAGGAGCUGCCUAAGGUGGGGCCGGUAACUGGGAUGAAGUCGUAACAAGGUAACCUUA